RNAcentral lists this ribosomal RNA (439 nucleotides) under uncultured bacterium. RNAcentral's name for it is "bacterial SSU rRNA". It matches the Rfam family "Bacterial small subunit ribosomal RNA", at positions 340 to 773 of the family's 1533-position model. The record is from RNAcentral.
UACGGAAGGCAGCAGUGGGGAAUAUUGCACAAUGGGCGCAAGCCUGAUGCAGCCAUGCCGCGUGUAUGAAGAAGGCCUUCGGGUUGUAAAGUACUUUCAGUCGUGAGGAAGGUGUUAAGGUUAAUAACCUUAGCAAUUGACGUUAGCGACAGAAGAAGCACCGGCUAACUCCGUGCCAGCAGCCGCGGUAAUACGGAGGGUGCGAGCGUUAAUCGGAAUUACUGGGCGUAAAGGGCACGCAGGCGGUUAAUUAAGUUGGAUGUGAAAUCCCCGGGCUUAACCUGGGAAUGGCAUUCAAGACUGGUUAGCUAGAGUCUUGUAGAGGGGGUAGAAUUCCAUGUGUAGCGGUGAAAUGCGUAGAGAUGUGGAGGAAUACCGGUAGCGAAGGCGGCCCCUGGACAAAGACUGACGCUCAUGUGCGAAAGCGUGGGGAGCAAAC